Molecule: non-coding RNA, 82 nt
Organism: Nemania sp. FL0031
Lineage: Eukaryota; Fungi; Ascomycota; Sordariomycetes; Xylariales; Xylariaceae
Source: the annotation of a GenBank genome assembly
GGACCCGUAGCUCAGCGGUAGAGCAUCUGAUUCCAGUUUCGCUGCAUCCAGAAGGUCAUCCGUUCAAAUCGGGUCGGGUUCA